UGGCUCAGAUUGAACGCUGGCGGCAGGCCUAACACAUGCAAGUCGAGCGGAAACGAGUUAUCUGAACCUUCGGGGAACGAUAACGGCGUCGAGCGGCGGACGGGUGAGUAAUGCCUAGGAAAUUGCCCUGAUGUGGGGGAUAACCAUUGGAAACGAUGGCUAAUACCGCAUGAUGCCUACGGGCCAAAGAGGGGGACCUUCGGGCCUCUCGCGUCAGGAUAUGCCUAGGUGGGAUUAGCUAGUUGGUGAGGUAAGGGCUCACCAAGGCGACGAUCCCUAGCUGGUCUGAGAGGAUGAUCAGCCACACUGGAACUGAGACACGGUCCAGACUCCUACGGGAGGCAGCAGUGGGGAAUAUUGCACAAUGGGCGCAAGCCUGAUGCAGCCAUGCCGCGUGUGUGAAGAAGGCCUUCGGGUUGUAAAGCACUUUCAGUCGUGAGGAAGGUAGUGUAGUUAAUAGCUGCAUUAUUUGACGUUAGCGACAGAAGAAGCACCGGCUAACUCCGUGCCAGCAGCCGCGGUAAUACGGAGGGUGCGAGCGUUAAUCGGAAUUACUGGGCGUAAAGCGCAUGCAGGUGGUUUGUUAAGUCAGAUGUGAAAGCCCGGGGCUCAACCUCGGAAUAGCAUUUGAAACUGGCAGACUAGAGUACUGUAGAGGGGGGUAGAAUUUCAGGUGUAGCGGUGAAAUGCGUAGAGAUCUGAAGGAAUACCGGUGGCGAAGGCGGCCCCCUGGACAGAUACUGACACUCAGAUGCGAAAGCGUGGGGAGCAAACAGGAUUAGAUACCCUGGUAGUCCACGCCGUAAACGAUGUCUACUUGGAGGUUGUGGCCUUGAGCCGUGGCUUUCGGAGCUAACGCGUUAAGUAGACCGCCUGGGGAGUACGGUCGCAAGAUUAAAACUCAAAUGAAUUGACGGGGGCCCGCACAAGCGGUGGAGCAUGUGGUUUAAUUCGAUGCAACGCGAAGAACCUUACCUACUCUUGACAUCCAGAGAACUUUCCAGAGAUGGAUUGGUGCCUUCGGGAACUCUGAGACAGGUGCUGCAUGGCUGUCGUCAGCUCGUGUUGUGAAAUGUUGGGUUAAGUCCCGCAACGAGCGCAACCCUUAUCCUUGUUUGCCAGCGAGUAAUGUCGGGAACUCCAGGGAGACUGCCGGUGAUAAACCGGAGGAAGGUGGGGACGACGUCAAGUCAUCAUGGCCCUUACGAGUAGGGCUACACACGUGCUACAAUGGCGCAUACAGAGGGCGGCCAACUUGCGAAAGUGAGCGAAUCCCAAAAAGUGCGUCGUAGUCCGGAUUGGAGUCUGCAACUCGACUCCAUGAAGUCGGAAUCGCUAGUAAUCGUGGAUCAGAAUGCCACGGUGAAUACGUUCCCGGGCCUUGUACACACCGCCCGUCACACCAUGGGAGUGGGCUGCAAAAGAAGUAGGUAGUUUAACCUUCGGGGGGACGCUUACCACUUUGUGGUUCAUGACUGGGGUGAAGUCGUAACAAGG
This 1497-nucleotide ribosomal RNA is filed under the name Vibrio alginolyticus. Its description in RNAcentral is "bacterial SSU rRNA". It matches the Rfam family "Bacterial small subunit ribosomal RNA". The record is from RNAcentral. Lineage: Bacteria; Pseudomonadati; Pseudomonadota; Gammaproteobacteria; Vibrionales; Vibrionaceae.